AGCGAAGCAAGCAUUGUUGAAGAUAGGGAAGAGUUCUGGACAGUAUGGGCAGCAGAGUCAAGAGCCCUAGUCCGUGACUCACAGAUGCAAACAGAUGCAGAGAGGAGAGGAAAAUGACAGCGAAAGGGGGAGGUGGGAACCCUGGCAGGCCUGGUGCUCAGCAUUCUUCGUUCAUUUUCUUUAUAGGCAUCUAAACUCAUUUAAUUCAUGAAAUGCGCUAGAUGUGAAAUACUAUUUAUUUUUUUAAAUGUCCUCCUUUCUUUUCUUCUCUCCAAAGCUCAUAUAUGACAGGACAGACUUCAAAAGCAUGUAAGGUGUGGGACAUCCCUGGUAGUCCAGUGGUUACGGUGCCAUGCUGCCAAGGCUGGGGGCAUGGGUUUGAUCCCUGGCUGAGGAACUAAGAUCCCACAUGCAGUGCAGCAUGGGCAAAAGAUUUUUUUUUUUUUAAAGCAUGUUAAGCUGUUCAGUAGAACAGAAGGCCCCCUGCUUAGAAGGACCACUAUUGAUUUGACAUUCUACUGUGGCCAUCUUGAGCUUCCUAAUUUCUGAACAAGGGACCCCACAUUUCUAUUUUGUACUGCCCUGGAGGAGGGAAUGGCAACCCACUCCAGUAUCCUUGCCUGGAGGAUCCCAUGGACAGAGGAGCCUGGCGGGCUACAGUCCAUAGGGUCACACAGAGUUGGACACGACUGAAGCGACUUAGCAUGCACGCAUGUGGUAAAUUAUGAAGCCAGUCCUGCUCCUAGAAUAAAAGACUGUCCAGCCCUGGUUUGUCCUUUUCAAACCCUCCGCCAGGAUCCCAGAUGGGACUCACCAGCUACUCCUGCCAGCAGCCCCCAUCCUUCCCAGCUGCACUCGGUUCUUCUCUGGUCUGUGGGACAGACCUUCUGUUGGUAUCACUUGCCAACAGGAUCAGGGUUAACUUGAAAGAGGGUCCAGGAUUUGUUGCAAAUUAGCAUAAGAAUUUCUGGAUGGCAUUUCCCUGAAGGAUUUUUGGUUGGCCUGAAGUAUUUGUGGGGAAGUGAUUCUCUCUUCAAAUUGUUCUGCUCCUGGAUGAUGCCACUGUGGUUCAGGGUGCUGAGGUCACCUGUCCAAGGUCAGGCAGCUAAAACCUGGCCCGGGUGGAAUGAAAACAUAAGAAGAACCUGACAGGCCAUGGGGAACACAGCCUAAUUAGCGAGGUGUCCCAGGCGCGGUGAUAACAGGUUGAAAGGAUGUGUGACCAAGCGGCGGUCCUGAAAGCUCAGGCCGUGUGGAUCUCCAGAAUUCUGAGGCGCCCAGCUCAGUGAGGCUCCUCACUGCCCCCCUUCCCAAUCAUCAAAAAUCAUUCCAAGCCCACAGUGUGCCCUCCGGGGCAGGCCAGAGACGCGUCUGCAUGCCAACACCUCUGGGAACUAAAAGGCCCUCCCCCAGUGGACCAGCACUGAAUUCCAUGGGUCACAAACUGUGUGCAGUGUCGCAACUGUGGUUCAAGGGGAACUCCUGGCUGAAGCCCACAAGGGGCAGGCAGGGGCAUCAAAGCAGCUGCCCUCUGCUCCCAGGGGACCUGGAAGAAAGCGGUCUUGACCUUUGCGUGACCCAUGGCCCAUGGGUGACAGAUGUCGUGCUAUGAACUGUGCCUUCACCCUAAGGCUGAGCAGCUGGGCAGAAGGGAGACACGUGAAUGGGCCGAGGCUGUGAGGGAGCAUGAGAAAGCACUGCCGUCCACACCAACGUCUCAUAACCAACAAGGGGCAUGUGGACCACCAGUCAGUGGCAUGGGCAGACGCUCCCAGAUUCUGGAGACACGGCCCUCUCUCCUAUCUCCUAAGGAUGCCUGUAACAUGUCCAAGGGCUUUCCCUUGCAUCCCUGCCCAGAAGCCCCCGAAACAGGCAGUCAAAGGUGUCCCUACUUGACAGGAAUAUCAGGCUCCCAAAGGCAAAGCGUCUGCUGGAGCUGACCAAGGCAGCCUGUGAGAAGAAGCUGCGUCCGGGCUGUCUCUUCUAUUCCAGUUCCCACGUGAGGACGCCACCUGUCUUCCUCCUGGGGUUGUCAUGGGGUCCAUCAGAAGUAGGGGUGGAGAAACUGAGAGUGAGCGAUAGAGGAAAGGGAACAGGAAAGGAGUUCUUGCUGAGCGCCUGAUGCUGAAGACUAUAUACAGGUAUAGUCUUGUCACUUAGUUGCUAAACUAUGUCUCUUUCCCACCCCAUGGAUUAUAGCCCAGCAGGCAUAUCUGUCCAUGGGAUUUCCCAGGUAGGAAUACUAGACCCAGUUGCUAUUUCCUUCUCCAGGGUAUCUUCCCAAUCCAGAGAUUGAACCCACAUCUCCUGUGUCUCCUGCAUUGCAGGCGGAUUCUUUCCCCACUGAUCCAUCAAGGAAGAUGUCUGUACAUCUCACGACUGAUAAUGUAUUUAGGAUUUUUUUCAUUUGAUAAACCCUUUAACAUAAACUUGAGUGGUCACCUUGGGUUUCUUCAUAAUUAUAACUUAAACUAUG
This is a long non-coding RNA of Bos taurus (domestic cattle), 2476 nucleotides long. The record is from Ensembl. NCBI's taxonomy places the organism in Eukaryota, Metazoa, Chordata, Mammalia, Artiodactyla, Bovidae.